GCUAUUGCAGCGAACUGAUCGAUCCUACACUGCCAAGAAAAGCCUCUAAACAAGAUAACCUGGUAUCCGUACUAAAACCGACACAGGUAGGUAGGUAGAGAAUACCAAGGCGCUCGAGAUAACCCUCGUUAAGGAACUCGGCAAAAUGACUCCGUAACUUCGGGAGAAGGAGUGCCCCGGUAGGGUGACCCAAUUUACUUGGUCAGCCCGAGGGGGUUGCAAAGAAACGGCCCAAGCGACUGUUUACUAAAAACACAGGUCUCUGCUAAAUCGAAAGAUGAUGUAUAGGGACUGACGCCUGCCCGGUGCUGGAAGGUUAAGGAAGGGGGUUACUCCUUAGUAAUAAGGAGGAAGCUCUUGACCGAAGCCCCAGUAAACGGCGGCCGUAACUAUAACGGUCCUAAGGUAGCGAAAUUCCUUGUCGGGUAAGUUCCGACCCGCACGAAUGGCGUAACGAUUUGGGCGCUGUCUCAACGAGGGACUCGGUGAAGUUGUAGUGUAAGUGAAGAUGCUUACUACCCGCGACAGGACGGAAAGACCCCGUGAACCUUUACUGUAGCCUGAUAUUGAAUUUUAGCAUAUCCUGUGUAGGAUAGGUGGUAGGCUGUGAAAGAGGGGCGUUAGCCUCUCCGGAGCCAUCCUUGAAAUACCACCCUUGAUAUGUUUGGAUUCUAACCUUUCGCCGUUAUCCGGCAAAGGGACAGUAUUUGGUGGGCAGUUUGACUGGGGCGGUCACCUCCUAAAGAGUAACGGAGGUGUCCCAAGGUCUCCUCAGUGUGGUUGGAAAUCA
RNAcentral lists this ribosomal RNA (790 nucleotides) under marine sediment metagenome. Its description in RNAcentral is "LSU rRNA". It matches the Rfam family "Bacterial large subunit ribosomal RNA", at positions 1576 to 2340 of the family's 2925-position model. The record is from RNAcentral.